CACAUUAUCUUGCAGAAGAGAAGCGAGUCAAAAAGACCUCAAAGCACAGCGGCGUCACCAAUCCCUCCCCUGAAGAGCUCACAGUCUAACCGGACAAGACAGACACAGGGCGGGGGAAGGGGCAGAACACACAAGCAGAGUGAGCAGACCGAUAGUGCAAAUGCCACAUCAGUGCCACCAUUUAACAGUCACACUGUGCUGUGCGGGAGAGAGGGGGAGCAGGGGGUGGAGUGAGGUUGGGGUGACAGGACCGGGUGAGAGGGGGUUGGAGCUGUCAGCCAAUCAGCACAGGAGAGAAGACAGGCAGAGUGACACUGUCACAAGUAGCAUGAUGACAUCAUCAACCACUAUGUCCCUCUGGACACAGAGGAGGUGAACUACAACAGCCAGGGCACAGCCUGGGCACAGCGCUGGCUACAGGCAGAGUGACCCCAAACCUGCUCCCGCCCCCGGCUGUGUGGGAGCAACAAACCCGUGGGAAUUCAGUGAGUGGGGUUUGGGUCUGUUCGCUCCGUGUCCUGAGUACGAAGGCCGAGGGGCCGAGCUUCUCCGUGCACUGCACAAACCAGACUGACUUUCUGUUCACAGUGAGCUCUGAGAGCUGCCCAGAGGGGCUAUGAACCUUGUUGUAAAGUCUGAGAUUCCCCCUCCCGUCCCCAGUGAAAUGAACAAAGGGACCUCACCUUUCUCUGCACGAUGCGCCGCUGGAAGUGAAUAACAGGAGAGGUGGGUUACAAGGCAGAAGAUUUAUCUAUCGCAGCGUCUCUAGGGGGAGAAAAGAGGGAGAGCUCCUGGAGUCUAGUGGAGAUGUGAUGAUUUCAGCCUUCCUUCUUAGAGAAAAAGUAUGUUUCUAGCCCUUGUUUCAAAAUGUUUCUCCAGUGCACCCUAAAGGCUCAACAAGCAGACGGCAAAUAAAAAGAAGCCCCCAUCGACUAUUUUUACAUCAUCCCGUGAUUUUAAAGCCAAUCUCCUGAUUGUGGAGGGCAGCAGUGAUGCUGUGAGAAGCUGAAGGCCAGGGAUGAAAAUCAUCAGAAUCAUACCUAAGAAUUGCUUAUUUGGAACCCAGAUAAAUGCAGUAACUGGCCAGGAGAAUGAGAACAGCCAGGACAGCCAGGAUCACACCCAGAGCCACCAGCCCAGGAUUGACUCGUGGGAAAAACAGCUCUGCAAGAGAAAGUGCCAUUGACUUGGGAGCAAACACGCGCAGAAUGAAGGCAGGACCCUGUGACAAUGGUGACUCUGUGACUAGUUAAAAGAAUCUCAAGGUGA
Molecule: long non-coding RNA, 1269 nt
Organism: Mauremys reevesii (Reeves's turtle)
Lineage: Eukaryota; Metazoa; Chordata; Testudines; Geoemydidae
Exons: 5
Source: RefSeq, a predicted model, not a curated record